This 211-nucleotide unclassified non-coding RNA is filed under the name soil metagenome. Its description in RNAcentral is "partial contains 5.8S ribosomal RNA, internal transcribed spacer 2, and large subunit ribosomal RNA". The record is from RNAcentral.
AACAAGGCGUACCUGCGGACCUGCGAGGGAUCAUUACAAGUGACCCCGGUCUAACCACCGGGAUGUUCAUAACCCUUUGUUGUCCGACUCUGUUGCCUCCGGGGCGACCCUGCCUUCGGGCGGGGGCUCCGGGUGGACACUUCAAACUCUUGCGUAACUUUGCAGUCUGAGUAAACUUAAUUAAUAAAUUAAAACUUUCAACAAUGGAUCU